RNAcentral lists this long non-coding RNA (1396 nucleotides) under Cricetulus griseus (Chinese hamster). RNAcentral's name for it is "lncRNA (ENSCGRG00015035822.1)". Lineage: Eukaryota; Metazoa; Chordata; Mammalia; Rodentia; Cricetidae. The record is from RNAcentral.
CUGGAACACAAAUCUGUUUCGAUGACAUCAGUAAUUCUACUCUAGUUACCUUUGACCACCCCUACUCCCACCCAUGGUCACAGGUUGAAAGAGAUUGCCAUCUUUUCAGACCUCACCAUCCAAGCAAAUGUGGUGCAUGGUGCUUCCACCACGCUCCUCGAGCUUGUUCAUGUCAAUAUUAUUUUGCCUAGUUUAUGCCUCUAAGUUGGUUUAUGGUUGCCAGUGUCAGCACGAAACCCUGAUGGGAGCUUAGCUUCCCACCAGGCUUCAGUUGAAUGUGUAUGAAUAGCCCAUAGUAACUGCUUCUAUUGUUCCUGGAAGGCUUGUAUUGUGGAGAGAGCAAUUAAUCAUUUUCUGAGGAAGCCUGAGGGAGCCUAGCACACGGUGUGGUUGAUGAUGGCUUUUUUUCUUCCAAGAUGAACAAAAUAAAAACCCCAGCCAAGGUUUUCCUGAAGACGGGCUUAUCUCCCGCAUUGAUGGGCAACAUUUCCCUGCCAAGGUAGAAUUCCAUUACCAAACAGCAAGCUUACGAACGCAGCUGAAGGUCGGCACCCCUGCUGCCAGGAUCCGUGGAUGCUUGGCACAGCUAGGCACAUCUGCUCCGUGGAUCUCAUUGGGUCCAAUACUGCGGUCUACAGCUUCCUCCUGCAUUUCCUUUGCUAAAGGUCCAUUCCUGUCAACCUGGCUCGGUGUUGCAAGCUUUGCAGUCACAAAAAAAUCUACAACUCACUGUGGAGAUGUUAUCAUAUAUUCACUUCGUGAACAAGAGAACAUUGAUUCAUUAAUUAUUUUUUGCAUUCAUGGUGUCAUGACUCUGCUUCAGAUUUAUCAUGGAAACACAAAAAUGGCUCUGUCCAUGAGAAUAUUUCCAGAGAGGUUUGACUGAGGAGGGAAGAACACACCCUGAAUGUUGUGGCAGUAUCCUGUGGGCUGGGGUCCUGGACCAAAUAAAAGGAGAAGAUGAACUGAACAUCAACAUCCAUGUUUCUCUGCUUCUGGACUGUGGGUACCACUUGACCAGCUGCCUCACACUCCACCUGGAGCCUUUCCUACCACCCGUGAAGUCCUUUCUGUGAUGAUCCCUAGACUGUGCACCAGAAUAAACAUGCCAUUCCUUACAUGGCUUUUAACAGGCAACUAGAAAAGUACCUACAAUGAUCAAACAGACUCGGAACCCAUCCUGUGUGCCAAACAUCCCAGGUCUCCAAGAAGAGAACUCCAGAACCCCAGUGCAAGCUGCGAGGGAAAGCAAGUCUCUUUCGUGUUGCUCAUCACUGAUGACAGUCUGUCUUCACUAGCUUGAUGCCCAGGAUGCCUGCUUUUUUUUUCUAACAAGAGACAGAAUGAGUAUGGAUUCAGAUGGAAGGAGAAGCUGGGAGGAUCAGAGGAGUGGGGA